Molecule: signal recognition particle RNA, 299 nt
Filed under: Saimiri boliviensis boliviensis (Bolivian squirrel monkey)
Lineage: Eukaryota; Metazoa; Chordata; Mammalia; Primates; Cebidae
Description: Metazoan signal recognition particle RNA (ENSSBOG00000004352.1)
Rfam family: Metazoan signal recognition particle RNA
About the family: The signal recognition particle (SRP) is a universally conserved ribonucleoprotein. It is involved in the co-translational targeting of proteins to membranes. The eukaryotic SRP consists of a 300-nucleotide 7S RNA and six proteins: SRPs 72, 68, 54, 19, 14, and 9.
Source: RNAcentral
GCUGGGUGCGAUGGCACGUGCCUGUAGUCCCAGCUACUCGGGAGGCUAAGGUGGGAGGAUUGCUUGAGCCCAGGAGUUCUGGGCUGUAGUGUGCUACGCCAAUCGGGUUCCCGCACUAAGUUCGGCAUCAAUAUGGUGACCUCCCAGGAGCAGGGGACCACUAGGUUGCCUAAGGAGGGGUGAACCAGCCCAGGUCGGAAACGGAGCAGGUCAAAACUCCCGUGCUGAUCAGUAGUGGGAUCACACCUGUGAAUAGCCACUGCACUCCAGCCUGGGCAACAUAGCGAGACCCUGUCUCA